GAUGAACGCUGGCGGCGUGCCUAACACAUGCAAGUCGAGCGGGAUCUUGCUAAAUGACGCUUCGGUUGAUUUUAGUAAGUGAGAGCGGCGGACGGGUGAGUAACGCGUAGGCAACCUGCCCUUUGCAGAGGGAUAGCCAUUGGAAACGAUGAUUAAAACCUCAUAAUGCCAGACUGAGACAUCUCUAACUGGCCAAAGAUUUAUCGGCAAAGGAUGGGCCUGCGUCUGAUUAGCUAGUUGGUGGGGUAACGGCCUACCAAGGCGACGAUCAGUAGCCGACCUGAGAGGGUGAUCGGCCACAUUGGAACUGAGACACGGUCCAA
This 323-nucleotide ribosomal RNA is filed under the name uncultured bacterium. Its description in RNAcentral is "bacterial SSU rRNA". It matches the Rfam family "Bacterial small subunit ribosomal RNA", at positions 28 to 334 of the family's 1533-position model. The record is from RNAcentral.